RNAcentral lists this ribosomal RNA (365 nucleotides) under uncultured archaeon. Its description in RNAcentral is "bacterial SSU rRNA". It matches the Rfam family "Archaeal small subunit ribosomal RNA", at positions 1081 to 1445 of the family's 1478-position model. The record is from RNAcentral.
GGAUCUGACGCACUAUAGGGGAGACCGCGGGCGNUAAGUCAGAGGAAGGCGAGGGCAACGGUAGGUCAGUAUGAUCCGAAUGCUAUGGGCUACACGCGCAAUACAAAGGACGGGACAAUGGGCUGCAACUCCGAGAGGAACGACGCUAUCCCGAAACCCGUUCGUAGUUCGGAUUGAGGGCUGUAACUCGCCCUCAUGAAGCUGGAUUAGGUAGUAAUCGCGUCUCAAUAGGGCGCGGUGAAUAUGCCCCUGCUCCUUGCACACACCGCCCGUCAAACCAUCUUAGUUGGGGGUGGGUGAGGCUACCUUAACCAUGGGGUAUUCGAGCCUGCCUUCGACAAGGAGGGUUAAGUCGUAACAAGGUA